GAAGAUAUCGCAAAUUACCUCAGAAAUGCUUGUGGAAAACCUGUUAAUGGAGAACCGACAUAAAAACACACAGAGAACCCUCUGGGGUGUUCUGUUUUUGGCGGGUGGGGUGCCUCUGUGUGUGUGUGUGUGUGCAUGUGCGUGUGUGGUAUUCCUCCGGGGUACAUUGCCAGGAGGUUUCUGGCUCUCUGAAAGAGGUUUCGGAGGACUACUCAUCUCUAGUCAUGAUGUAACCUCCAGAUUCAGGGGCAGUCUAGCAGUUGCCGACAGCUCUUGCCUUGGGAAGAUUUGAGAAAUACGCGGUCAAGUCCUCAUUCUAGACUCGCAACGGAUUAUUAAUUGGUUCGAUGGCAUGAAUCGGAGGCAACGAAGGAGAAGAGGGGGCCAUGUUUCUAGACCCAGCUAGACCUUCACUCCCUUUUCGGGGGCAGAAAUGAAGGGCAGAAAAUCUUUUGCCAGAGAAAAUAAUCUUGCCAACUCUAACACAGCGCCUUUUGCCACCAGGGUCCAAAGAACUGAGUUGGAGACAAGCAAUAUUUCCUGGAGAGUUGAGAAUGAUUUGGAAGAGGGGUCAUUUCUCAGGACAUGUAUAUUCAUGCCUCUGAGAAACAGGUUUGGCAGGGUUUUGUCCCCCCCCCCCGCACCUUGCUUCCAAAACCUGCCAAAUCUGUUGGACAAGACAAGAGUAAUAGUUGGUAUACAGGGGGAAAUAAAGGCAAACUACUUCAGUAUCAAAUAAUCCAACCCAGCUCGUCUGCCUUCCGGCUCUCAUCAUUCCAUUCUUUAAAAAAAUAAAAAAAAAUAUUUAUUUAUAUAUCUGUAAACCGCUUUGGGAAGUUUUGUUGAAAAGCGGCAUACAAAUCUUCACCGUAUAUUCCUGUAUGGCCUCUGUUCCUUUUUGAACGCUGGAUGUUGUUUCCCAAUGGGAAGGCCAGCAAUUGCAGGCUUUAAUUGAGCAAAGGCUGCCCACAUAAUGAUGGGCUGAGCCACACAGUCGUGGUCUGAAUCUGUGGUCCUCCUUAGGACCAGGGACCUCCUGCCUGUGCUUAGAAGCUGCUCAACUCUUUCUUUUCACCUCCAUCACCCCACUUUCCUUCCUCCCCUAGCCGUUCCCUGCUUUUGCUUAUUUAUCUGCAAAGUUGGCUUUUUUAAAAAAGCGCAACACUAUCCUAUUUGCAAAGUAGCUCAUCUUUCUCUAGCAAGGCCUUGUUGAUCACAAUUGCCAAAAGGAGAUUAUAUUCCGUUCGCUGCCCCUCCCUUUACAGUAUAAUCUUCUUAUUGGUGCUGGUUCUUGAAAAACAAACAGAUGAAUAAAUAAAUGUUGGAUG
This is a long non-coding RNA of Hemicordylus capensis (graceful crag lizard), 1328 nucleotides long. RefSeq lists it as uncharacterized. The transcript has 3 exons. The record is from RefSeq and is a predicted model, not a curated record. Lineage: Eukaryota; Metazoa; Chordata; Lepidosauria; Squamata; Cordylidae.